Molecule: ribosomal RNA, 218 nt
Filed under: uncultured bacterium
Lineage: Bacteria
Description: partial 16S ribosomal RNA
Rfam family: Bacterial small subunit ribosomal RNA
Source: RNAcentral
UACGAAGGGUGCAAGCGUUACUCGGAAUUACUGGGCGUAAAGCGUGCGUAGGUGGUUUGUUAAGUCUGCUGUGAAAGCCCCGGGCUCAACCUGGGAAUGGCAGUGGAUACUGGCAAGCUAGAGUGCGAAUGAGAGGGGUGUGGAAUUCCCGGUGUAGCGGUGAAAUGCGUAGAGAUCGGGAGGAACACCAGUGGCGAAGGCGGCACCCUCGGAUCAGC